RNAcentral lists this ribosomal RNA (464 nucleotides) under uncultured bacterium. RNAcentral describes it as "partial 16S ribosomal RNA". It matches the Rfam family "Bacterial small subunit ribosomal RNA", at positions 339 to 795 of the family's 1533-position model. The record is from RNAcentral.
CUACGGGCUGCUGCAGUGGGGAAUUUUGGACAAUGGGGGCAACCCUGAUCCAGCCAUGCCGCGUGAGUGAAGAAGGCCUUCGGGUUGUAAAGCUCUUUCAGCCGGGAAGAAAUCGCAUGGGUUAAUACCCUGUGCGGAUGACGGUACCGGAAUAAGAAGCACCGGCUAACUACGUGCCAGCAGCCGCGGUAAUACGUAGGGUGCGAGCGUUAAUCGGAAUUACUGGGCGUAAAGCGUGCGCAGGCGGAUGCUUAAGUCAGAUGUGAAAUCCCCGGGCUUAACCUGGGAAUUGCAUUUGAAACUGGGUGUCUAGAGUGCGUCAGAGGGGGGUGGAAUUCCACGUGUAGCAGUGAAAUGCGUAGAUAUGUGGAGGAACACCAAUGGCGAAGGCAGCCCCCUGGGAUGACACUGACGCUCAUGCACGAAAGCGUGGGGAGCAAACAGGAUUAGAUACCCUGGUAGUC